Molecule: ribosomal RNA, 495 nt
Filed under: uncultured bacterium
Lineage: Bacteria
Description: partial 16S ribosomal RNA
Rfam family: Bacterial small subunit ribosomal RNA
Source: RNAcentral
GACGAACGCUGGCGGCGUGCCUAAUACAUGCAAGUUGAGCGCUGAAGGUUGGUACUUGUACCAACUGGAUGAGCAGCGAACGGGUGAGUAACGCGUGGGGAAUCUGCCUUUGAGCGGGGGACAACAUUUGGAAACGAAUGCUAAUACCGCAUAAAAACUUUAAACACAAGUUUUAAGUUUGAAAGAUGCAAUUGCAUCACUCAAAGAUGAUCCCGCGUUGUAUUAGCUAGUUGGUGAGGUAAAGGCUCCAAGGCGAUGAUACAUAGCCGACCUGAGAGGGUGAUCGGCCACAUUGGGACUGAGACACGGCCCAAACUCCUACGGGAGGCAGCAGUAGGGAAUCUUCGGCAAUGGACGAAAGUCUGACCGAGCAACGCCGCGUGAGUGAAGAAGGUUUUCGGAUCGUAAAACUCUGUUGGUAGAGAAGAACGUUGGUGAGAGUGGAAAGCUCAUCAAGUGACGGUAACUACCCAGAAAGGGACGGCUAACUACGUG